This 253-nucleotide ribosomal RNA is filed under the name uncultured bacterium. Its description in RNAcentral is "partial 16S ribosomal RNA". It matches the Rfam family "Bacterial small subunit ribosomal RNA", at positions 524 to 776 of the family's 1533-position model. The record is from RNAcentral.
UACGUAGGGUGCGAGCGUUAAUCGGAAUUACUGGGCGUAAAGCGUGCGCAGGCGGCUUGCCAAGUCAGAUGUGAAAGCCCCGGGCUCAACCCGGGAACGGCGUUUGAAACUGGCAGGCUAGAGUUUGGCAGAGGGGGGUGGAAUUCCACGUGUAGCAGUGAUAUGCGUAGAGAUGUGGAGGAACACCGAUGGCGAAGGCAGCCCCCUGGGCCAAAACUGACGCUCAGGCACGAAAGCGUGGGGAGCAAACAGG